CCUGUGCAAAGAUCAAGAGUUGGAUGCUUAACUGCCUGAGCCACCCAGCUGCAACCUAAACAAAAGAAGUGCUUUUUCAGGAAUAGCAGAGAAUUGCAAUCCAGGACAAGGAAGCUACAGCAAAACCAUAGGCAAUUCCAGAGAACAAAGGAGAGUCUUUGCAAAAAAACCUAAACAAACAAACAAAAAACCACAACUUCUUAGCUCUAUUCAAGCAGCAAGUGAACAGAAUUUAUUUUUGCCAAAUAAGGUCCCUGGGUCCAAUGGAUACAUUUGGAAUGUACUAGGCCAUUUGUUAACUAAGAUUUGCAAAGGUGCUUAAAGCUCAUGCAUGGACCCCAGAUUGGAAUCCUCGAGACAAGCAAAAGCACUUGCCCAGGACUGAUGGCCGCUCGUCCCACUGUGAUGGCCAUGGGAGAGGAAGAGUGGAUGGGGACAACUGCCUUUCCCCCAGGGAAUGCGUCCAGCAGCCCUCAGUCGAAGCACUGUUGCUAUAAGCUAUCUCGGGGGUGCUCUAGGGCCCCCUCCUUCAGCUCACCUCUGGGGAAAGUACGCACUGUAUUAACUUUGAGGAUUUUCCUCCCCAACAAUAAAUGGAGACAACCUCAGUUGCCAGUGCCCCAGAGCCUGGGGCGCUUUGCCCUCAAAAAAAAAAAAGCUCCAGCAGCUGAGCCCUGGAGUGCCUCAUGGCAGGGCUCCUUCUUCCCUUCUGACUUGACAGUACAGUUCACCAUGGUGCCAACGCCAUCUGGGGCCAGCUGGGCAGAGCCAGGGCUCCUCAUGGACAUCCUGAGCAUCCGAAAGAGGCGAAGGCCUCUGAGGGGAGACGGUUCAGGCCAUCCUCAUCCAUUUAUCCAAUUUAUACAAUCCAAUAAAUU
Long non-coding RNA from Canis lupus familiaris (dog), 878 nucleotides. RefSeq lists it as uncharacterized. The record is from RefSeq and is a predicted model, not a curated record. The transcript is spliced from 5 exons. Lineage: Eukaryota; Metazoa; Chordata; Mammalia; Carnivora; Canidae.